Molecule: transfer RNA, 75 nt
Filed under: Verrucomicrobia bacterium 12-59-8
Lineage: Bacteria; Pseudomonadati; Verrucomicrobiota
Also listed under: 1 other name
Description: tRNA-Ala
Rfam family: tRNA
About the family: Transfer RNA (tRNA) molecules are approximately 80 nucleotides in length. Their secondary structure includes four short double-helical elements and three loops (D, anti-codon, and T loops).
Source: RNAcentral
GGGACCGUAGUGUAGAAGGCUGCACGGCUGUUUUGCAAUCAGCAGGCGACGGAGCAUUACCGUCCGGCUCCACCA